Mirounga angustirostris (Northern elephant seal) is the source of this 1344-nucleotide long non-coding RNA. RefSeq lists it as uncharacterized. Lineage: Eukaryota; Metazoa; Chordata; Mammalia; Carnivora; Phocidae. The transcript has 2 exons. The record is from RefSeq and is a predicted model, not a curated record.
AGCAUAAUUGAUCGUCUUCUGUUACGAAGUGCUGAUGAGACAGUGUGGAAAUGUGGAAUCAGAAUUCUUUUUAAAAUUUGAUGCUACCACUGACUGGGUUUUUAGCAAACCAUUUCACCUCUCCGACUUUCAGUUUUAGGGUGGCAAAUUAAUGACACUGCUCUUUUCCUCUUUCCUUUAGAAUCAGGGUAAGAGCAAGAGACAGGCAGAUGGAAACCAGAACAUGAGGUUUAUUAUUAGCAAAGCUGACUUGGGGAACAUGGCUUUGUAAUGUGUUUCUGUUGGGGACUUUUAAUAUCUUACCCCUGACUUGAACCUACAGAUCAGGUCCUUCAGGCUUCUUCCCACCCCAUUCUCUUUAUACUCAUCUCCAAGGGUAGAGCUUUAUUUUCUAGAGGAGCAGAGUAUGUGUGUAUCCUGUUUAAAAAAAGAGAACCCAGAAGGGGCUAAAGUCAUAUGCUCAUUUCUGUUUCCCUCGUUCCCUAGUGAAGAAAGAGAGUCCACAGUUUCCUCCUGAGGAGGAUAGGGCAUACUUUAUGAGCCAAGGUAAGGAUUCAGGGAGGUUGCCCUUUAGAACAUCGCCUUUAGAGUUGUAGCUCAUCUGGUAGACCUCAGUAAAUAUCAGUUUCCUCUUUCUGUUUUCUUAAUAAUCUAUUAUAAAGGAUAAGGAGGAUGUGAAUAAGUGGUGUAGUGUAUGGAUAUGUGAUUAGAGACAAGGGAUGAUCUUUUUUCCCUUAGAAUCUUGUGUCCUUGCUUCUCUCUCAGCAAAGUUAGUUCAUUUGAGUCUUGCCAUUCUUCCCUUCUGCGUGUAAGGAGUAAUGAGGUUAAGAAAGCCUGGAGGGUAGGCUUCUGAGUGACUGAGCCAUGCCAGAUUCUUUCUGUAAUAAGGCAAGUGAAAUUACAAGUUAAUCAUAUGCCUGGGGCUGAAGAGGAAAGGUGAGGGUAAUUUUGGUUUUAUAACCUGGUUUCUUAAAUUAGCCAGUAGGUCUUUAUUCUGCAUUCAGUUAAUAGCUAUUUACGAAUUACCUUAGUAGGGGAUACUAAUUAAACAGUAUUUGUAGAUUCCUACUGAGGGAAAAAAAAAGGCUCCGUUUGGCAAUUUGUGUGGAUAAAGUUUUCCAGCAAUACCAGGAGAAGACAGAAAUGACUGGGGCGCCUGGGUGGCUCAGUCAUUAAGCGUCUGCCUUCGGCUCAGGUCAUGAUCCCGGGGUCCUAGGAUCGAGCCCCUCGUCGGGCUCCCUGCUCCGUGGGAAGCCUGCUUCUCCCUCUCCCACUCCCCCUGCUUGUGUUCCCUCUCUCACUGUCAAAUAAAUAAAAAUAAAAUCUUUAAAAAAAUAAAUAAAA